Vicia faba (fava bean) is the source of this 201-nucleotide non-coding RNA. NCBI's taxonomy places the organism in Eukaryota, Viridiplantae, Streptophyta, Magnoliopsida, Fabales, Fabaceae. The record is from the annotation of a GenBank genome assembly.
AUGGGUGCAGAUGAUUUAUUCAGUGCCAUCGAAAGCAACUUUCUGUUUUUCGUUUCUAUAAAAGUAGGUGCUACCGAUCUGUCUUCAAAUGUAUUUUCAGGUUGCCUAUUUGUGAUGUAUAAGCAUAUGAAUAAUGUUUUAUGGGUGCAGAUGAUUUAUUCAAUGCCAUCGAAAGCAACUUUCUGUUUUUUGUUUCUAUAA